Long non-coding RNA from Ictalurus punctatus (channel catfish), 796 nucleotides. Lineage: Eukaryota; Metazoa; Chordata; Actinopteri; Siluriformes; Ictaluridae. The record is from Ensembl.
CCGCAGUUGCAUGGCUUGGUCAAAUGUGCGGCCUAUUCGAGAAGGCAUCCUGAUUGAGAGGUCGUCCCGAUCGAGAGGUCGUCCCGAUCGAGAGGUCGUCCCGAUCGAGAGGUCGUCCCGAUCGAGAAGGCGUCCCGAUCAAGAAGGCGUCCUGAUCGAGAAGUCGUCCUGAUCGAGAAGGCGUCCUGAUCGAGAAGGCGUCCUGAUCGAGAAGGCGUCCUGAUCGAGAAGUCGUCCUGAUCGAGAAAGCAUCCUGAUCAAGAGGUCAUCCCGAUCGAGAAGUCGCCCUGAUCGAGAAGUCGUCCUGAUCAAGAAGGCGUCCUGAUCGAGAAGUCGUCCUGAUCGAGAAAGCAUCCUGAUCAAGAGGUCAUCCCGAUCGAGAAGUCGCCCUGAUCGAGAAGUCAUCCCGAUCGAGAGGUCGUCCCGAUAGAGAGGUCGUCCCGAUCGAGAGAUCGCCCCGAUCGAGACGUCAUCCCGAUCGAGAGGUCGUCCCGAUAGAGAGGUCGUCCCGAUCGAGAGGUCGUCCCGAUCGAGAGGUCGUCCUGAUCAAACAGCCCACCGACAGCUUGAGUAGUUUAAAACAGCAGCUAAUAACUGUUGCUAUUUUUUGUGCUAUUUUAUGUCCAUGAUUAGAAGAAUUAUAUUCCACACCCCAGACAGUCUGAACUGAAGCGCACCGGACCCUGAGCCCGAGUGACCCUGAACAGGACUCACUGAGAAAUUACCGACUCAGCUGACCCUCUGAACAGAAGACGAGCAAGUCGUCAUGCGUGGUACUGACCGCUGGGGAUUUUUU